UACGUAGGGUGCAAGCGUUAAUCGGAAUUACUGGGCGUAAAGCGUGCGCAGGCGGUUGUGCAAGCCAGAUGUGAAAUCCCCGGGCUUAACCUGGGAACUGCAUUUGUGACUGCACAGCUGGAGUGCGGCAGAGGGGGAUGGAAUUCCGCGUGUAGCAGUGAAAUGCGUAGAUAUGCGGAGGAACACCGAUGGCGAAGGCAAUCCCCUGGGCCUGCACUGACGCUCAUGCACGAAAGCUAGGGUAGCGAACGGG
Molecule: ribosomal RNA, 253 nt
Filed under: uncultured bacterium
Lineage: Bacteria
Description: partial 16S ribosomal RNA
Rfam family: Bacterial small subunit ribosomal RNA
Source: RNAcentral